This 31-nucleotide non-coding RNA is filed under the name Mus musculus (house mouse). The record is from RNAcentral. Lineage: Eukaryota; Metazoa; Chordata; Mammalia; Rodentia; Muridae.
UGUUAAAACUGAAAGCAGUGGCCUCUUUUCU